Molecule: ribosomal RNA, 496 nt
Filed under: uncultured bacterium
Lineage: Bacteria
Description: partial 16S ribosomal RNA
Rfam family: Bacterial small subunit ribosomal RNA
Source: RNAcentral
AUGCACGCUGGCGGCGUGCCUAAUACCUGCAAGUCGCGCGAACAGACGAGGAGCUUGCUCCUCUGACGUUAGCGGCGGACGGGUGAGUAACACGUGGAUAACCGACCUAUAAGACUGGGAUAACUUCGGGAAACCGGAGCUAAUACCGGAUAAUAUAUUGAACCGCAUGGUUCAAUAGUGAAAGACGGUUUUGCUGUCACUUAUAGAUGGAUCCGCGCCGCAUUAGCUAGUUGGUAAGGUAACGGCUUACCAAGGCAACGAUGCGUAGCCGACCUGAGAGGGUGAUCGGCCACACUGGAACUGAGACACGGUCCAGACUCCUACGGGAGGCAGCAGUAGGGAAUCUUCCGCAGUGGGCGAAAGCCUGACGGAGCAACGCCGCGUGAGUGAUGAAGGUCUUCGGAUCGUAAAACUCUGUUAUUAGGGAAGAACAAAUGUGUAAGUAACUAUGCACGUCUUGACGGUACCUAAUCAGAAAGCCACGGCUAACUACGUG